This 812-nucleotide long non-coding RNA is filed under the name Homo sapiens (human). RNAcentral's name for it is "non-protein coding lnc-MSR1-1:9". Lineage: Eukaryota; Metazoa; Chordata; Mammalia; Primates; Hominidae. The record is from RNAcentral.
GAAGUGUUCAGAGAGAGUGAACUGAAACUUGUUCUCUAGUCUUUUCUCCCGGAUGGGAAGCAAUGACGUGGGGAGAGAGCGCGGAGGAAGGGAGAGAUCCAGAAAGGUAGAUUCUUCUGUGUAGAAUUACAAUGUUCCUGAAAAGCCACUUUCCUGAGAAGAACUGCAACAGAUUUUCAUGAUAUCAAGAAGGCUUUAUGUUCCUGUAAGAAAGUUUGGCUGUAAGUUCCUAUCAAGAUUCUACAAGACUACAUGCGUGAGACCAGCUGGUGCUCAUCUCCAUAAGAUCUUCAGUCCAGAACCCAGGCAAUCAGCAGCUUCACAUGUGGCAGUGCGGGGGAGGAAAGAGAUAGAAGAAAAUGAGACAAGAUUUGCACCUGGUGCAUGGAAGAGGCUCGUGUAACUUCUGUUUACAUUUCAUUGGCUAAUUCAAGUCACGUGGUGGAACCUGGCAUUAAAGAGGCAACCUAGCGUGUGGUCAAACUAGAGUGAAGGGGUGUGGAUGCAAAAAUUAACAAAUCUUUCCAUGAUUGUGGAGCAGCUCUAUCAUGAUUGAGAAUUCAGCGCCAGUAGCAGCAGGGAUCUUACUGUGUAAUGACGGGUCAUCAAAGCCAGGUAGAGCUUUGUAAGAUUUUUUUACACUAACAUUCAUACUGGAUCUUUAUAUUCUUUAGGAAAAUAGCAGAAUAACAGAAUUUUAAGGUCAACUAGAAUGAGUACAAUAAAUUUGUUUGUGGAAUAUAUUAAUAUCUAAAAAUAACUUUGCCGUAUAAAGUAAUGCCAAUGUAAUUUUUUCUUUUCAUUACUGCAUU